RNAcentral lists this ribosomal RNA (463 nucleotides) under uncultured bacterium. RNAcentral describes it as "bacterial SSU rRNA". It matches the Rfam family "Bacterial small subunit ribosomal RNA", at positions 28 to 507 of the family's 1533-position model. The record is from RNAcentral.
GACGAACGCUGGCGGCGCGCCUAAUACAUGCAAGUCGAACGAGCACGGACUUCGGUCCACAUGUGCGAGUGGCGAACGGGUGAGUAACACGUGAGAAACCUGCCUCGGAGACCGGGACAACCGUUGGAAACGACGGCUAAUACCGGAUGCCCUCUUCUGGUCGCAUGGCCGGAUGAGGAAACGAUCCGUCGCUCCGGGAGGGUCUCGCGGCCUAUCAGCUUGUUGGUGAGGUAACGGCUCACCAAGGCAUCGACGGGUAGCUGGUCUGAGAGGACGAUCAGCCACACUGGGACUGAGACACGGCCCAGACUCCUACGGGAGGCAGCAGUAGGGAAUCUUGCACAAUGGGCGAAAGCCUGAUGCAGCGACGCCGCGUGGGGGAUGAAGGCCUUCGGGUUGUAAACCCCUUUCAGUAGGGACGAAAAUGACGGUACCUACAGAAGAAGCUCCGGCCAACUACGUG